This 252-nucleotide ribosomal RNA is filed under the name uncultured bacterium. RNAcentral describes it as "partial 16S ribosomal RNA". It matches the Rfam family "Archaeal small subunit ribosomal RNA", at positions 474 to 727 of the family's 1478-position model. The record is from RNAcentral.
UACCAGCACCCCGAGUGGUCGGGACGUUAUUGGGCCUAAAGCAUCCGUAGCCGGUUCUACAAGUCUUCCGUUAAAUCCACCUGCUUAACAGAUGGGCUGCGGAAGAUACUAUGGAGCUAGGAGGCGGGAGAGGCAAGCGGUACUCGAUGGGUAGGGGUAAAAUCCGUUGAUCCAUUGAAGACCACCAGUGGCGAAGGCGGCUUGCCAGAACGCGCUCGACGGUGAGGGAUGAAAGCUGGGGGAGCAAACCGG